Cyanistes caeruleus (blue tit) is the source of this 10972-nucleotide non-coding RNA. The record is from RefSeq and is a predicted model, not a curated record. NCBI's taxonomy places the organism in Eukaryota, Metazoa, Chordata, Aves, Passeriformes, Paridae.
GUUUAUAGGUUUUAUUUAUUUAUUUUUUAAAAUUAUUUUUAAAGAAGGCCUUUACAAAGAAGAACUCCGCAAACUUCAUUUUCUUGAGGUAGUGUUUGGAAAUAUUUGGUUUAGAGUUUCUUGCUAUAAAGCCAGAAACCUGUCAGAGCAGACCAAGUUGAAAUGUCGGACAUAAACAGGGAAAUUUUUCUGGACACAUUCAGUAAUCCAACAUAGCUUUACUAUUCCCAGUUUGCCAAACACAGCAUCUGGCAACAUUAGGUAGCCCUAUGUACUUUUUUCUUUGUGGAAAAUGGGGAAAAAUGUGCUGUUAAGGCAAAGAAAAGGAUAGGAACAAAUCGAGUUCAAUGAGUUAAAACUUGGGUUAGCAGAAUGGCUUGGUGCCAGCAGUGAGAAGAACAGUCCACUUGCAUGCACUUCCAAGAUGUUCAGUGGAAUCUCAGUUUCUGGUAUUGAUUUAUUUAACUCUUAUUCUAUUAAAUCCCAACAAUUGUCGUGGGAGGCACUUCCCAGUCUCUCUUCCAGAGGGAUGAGUGACAAUCAUCUAAAUCACUCUAAAGAGCUGAAUGUAAUGCUUUCUCAAAGAAGGUGAGAGUUUUGCUGUGGUCACUGGUGAUCUCCAGGUUAAUGCAGUAGCAGUCUGCUCCGCUGGGAGAACUCUGCUCCCUCCUCCAGUACUUCUGACCUUUUCUGACAAACUCCCUUAAAACUGAGCCAAACCCCAGUCUCUCACCGCAUACUGAGAACAAAUCAAAUUUGAUUGCUGUCUGAAGAAGGUAUACAAAGCCCACUGGAUGGGAAUAGAAUUCACUUUGCCAGUAUUUUCUUUAAAAUAUUUGGAAGAACUUGUUGCAGUUCACGUAGCCCUUGGAUUAUGAGAAAGGACAUUUUCCAGCCUAGUAGAGCCAUCCAGUUUGGCAAGACUAUUCUCUUUCCCCACCCCAAAGUGCUGGAACUUCAUUAUGAGUUUUCAUUUUCUUCACCCUGCACAAACUUCAUGGUUCCCCGGGGUCAGCUCCCUGUCUAGCCUUGUUGCCUCAUAAAUGUCAUCUUCUACCUCAGCUCUUCUGUAAAACCCAGGGUUAACUCUUCUAAAGGUCACAGUUCCACAGUGUGCACCUCUUCAGCUUCUCUACAUUACUGAGUUUGUUCCCACAUUAUUUUUAAAUUUAGAAUGUUUAAUAUUGUUCUGUGCACCUCCAGAAAACUUACAUCCCUCUUCAUUCUGUUUUAAAACUUUUUUCUCUUAUUUCCCAAGAGAAGAAAACAUUUUCAGGAUUUUUGAAAUACUGAUUUAGGUUCAGAUAUUAAAUGGACAAAUGUUUAGGUAACUUACUCAGGGUGUGAUUUCACCAGUUACUUCAUACUAUGAAAUUAGGCAGGAAUUUGAAGCCACUGGCUUGGAUAGCUACUAGGUUGUGUUUUUUAGGUAUCCAACUCCUGGUUUGUACUACCUUGAUUUUUCAGAAAGUUUUGAGCAAUUCAGUUCUUAAUGUUGCACUCGUGGGCAGCACAAUAAUUGCUCCUCCUCUAGUGUUGUAAUAAUUUUUUUUAGAAGUUGUGAUCACGUGAGGCACAGUACUGCUACUGUGUGUACUUCCAUGUAAUGGGGUUUUUAGUGUGGGGUUUCUUUUUUAAGUGCCUGUUUAAAGAUAGAUGUCAGUACUCUGAAUUUGAAUGUGGAAGUAAUCAGCUUGUAGAAGUGUUUUCUUUUGUGGCUGUGUUGUAUCUUUUGGACAUAUACUGAAGGAUGAGUUUUACAGGAAUCUAAAAUGAAUGAGGGAAUGAACAAUAGAUCAAUUUUUUGUAGAAGCAGAAAUAAUCACGGGUGCCAAUUUGAAGCUUAGAUGCUGCUUAACUGAAAUUGAUUUUGAACACUGUGAGGAUUAAAUCAUGAGAUGGAGACUUGGAUCUGGGUUCAGUUCUCAGAUCUGCUGCUUCAUUGAGUAACUUGUUCGAGUCACUGAAUCUUCUGGUGUCCCACUUCCCCUUCAUAAAAAGGGGCAACAAUACUGCUUUUAUCUUGGGUUAUGAGGCCUCUGGGACAAGAAGAGCCUGUUAGUUUGAGCAUGUGUAGUACUUAGCACAAUGGGGUCCUCCUCUUAGAGAUAAUAACAACAACAUGUUUGACAUUCACAGAACAUGAUUUAUCUUUAAUCUUCUAAUGCACUGGAGUUCCCAGAUUGCCAUAGUGUUUUCUUUUUUAGAUGUGAGAGAUCUCUUUUUAUCUUGUGAGAAUGCAGACUGCUUUUUGUCUUUCUGUCCUCUUGCCAUCUGGGAGGAGGGAGGUGUGUGGGAUAAAUAUGGUGAUACAGUGCUCAAUUUUCUGAAAGGUCUCCUUGCUUAGGUUGUCAAGAUGACUUCCAGUUUCAAAAAAAUGCACCCCAGCAAAGGAAAGUACUUGUGACAUCCAGGGAGAAUUGCUUCUAUAUUCAUGGCUUAUGGUGCACCACAUGCUAAAGACCAAGUCAGACCAUCUUGAGCAUUGCUGUGCUCCAAGUUGCAGAGUGAUGUUUUCCUCUGAGUGAUAAACAACCAGAAAGCUGAAUCAGCACUUUGCAGCAGCAUGAACCUGGCUCAGCUUUGCUCUGGAGAAGGUUCUUUACCAGGUUUCAUAAUGACUGUGGAGUGGUGCAAAUAAAGGGAACACCAUUUAUCAACCACGUUGGCCAUGGAAAGUGAUCUGUUUAGAUGAGCAGUUUAUGUAAGUGAAGGACUUGUUAGGACAUGAGGCCGUGCUGCCCAUCACAGCAGGCAGCAGCUCUGGAUUUGGGAGAUGCAGUCCUGGAAGUUAUUUCUGGUGUUAUUUCUAUCUACUGAGCACUGAGGCUACUGAUAAAAACGAAGAAUUAAUUGUGAUAAUUUUCUAACAGUUCAUGAGGUUCAGCCUGUAACUUAUGCUAUUAUUUGAAGUGUCCCAUUGAAAUUCUGUUGAUUUGGUUAAGCUUGAUGAAUUUUACUGCUGGACUUGAUUGCUGAGGGGAGAGUGCUCUCCAUCAGCCCCGCUGGUGUGAGCUGAAGUCACAAGCAUUUGGGUGUGAAACAAAAGCAAGGGACUGGAGAGACAUUGCAAGGGACAUGAUGGAAGGCCUAGUGUAGACACACAAAGCUAACAAGCAUUUCUGCUUUUAAAAUGCUUUCAGAAAGACUGGCUGUCUUCUCAGCAUUCCUCCAGAGAGCUGAGAAGUAGUGCAGUCACGAUUUUGGAGGCUGAAACAUCAGUGAAAAAGGUUUCAUUCCCAACAGGAAAGUUUGAUAUAGAGCUCAAAGCCCCUGAUGACCAGUCCUCUGCUUCAACAGUGACACCUCCAUCCUCUUCUCUUGGAACUUCUGCUGAAUUCUAAGCAGGAAUAAAGCUUGUGCAGCACAUGGAAAUGCACUUUCCUCAUGGGCACAGCUGUGCAGAGCAGUUUGAUCAGAACUCUACAGAUGUGACAGGGCUGAGGAGGUGGAGGAGAAGACGGGGUAAAUGCCUGUACAGUCUGUGGGACAUGGCUGCCACACUUGUGUGGGGAAAGAGUGACACUUCUGCUGUCCUUUGCAGGUGUCAGUUCUCAAGGCACCAGCACCACAGAGGAGGAUGAUGCUGAUUGACACAGCCCUGACAGAAGCUGCCAGCAGAACUGGCUGGCCAAAGUAAAACAUGGCCAUCUGAAAAUCUGCAUCUGAUCCACUAAGCUGAAUCUGUGAAACAGGAUGGCCAGAAAGUGAUUCUCACUCAUUGCUAAUGUGGGUUUGCCUGGUGGUGUAGCCUGGAGCAAGAGCAGCUCUGGGGAGAGUUUGGGCAGGUGUGCUGCUCCGGAGCACAGCAAGGAGCAUCCCGGUAAUAUUUCCAUAUUUCCUGAGGAGCUGGGGGAGCAAUCACUGCUGAGGAAUGCUGGGAAUCACUCAUGGCAGGUCAGUGUCUGAAUCCUCCUUGACUUAGGGUCUGCCUUUGUUACGUUUCUAUUGUUUCCCCAGAUGAGCUACGAGGAAGGCAGAGAUUCCCAAGAGAGGUGCUGUCCAUCCUGAAUAUCUUCUAAACCUUGUAAAAGACAGGAGUCUGGUCCUUCAGAAGUGAUGUGUUAACAUGGUGAUCAUGCUCUGUACUUGAAUGGAGUUGGAUUCCUGAAGAAUCUCUACGUGGCAGACAACUCUGGAGAACUCUUCCUCAUGCAGUCAGGUUCAACAGCAGUGUUAAAGUAUCACAGAGUCAGACACUGUCCAUUCUGAAGAGCUCUGAAGAAACCCUCUUCUCCUCUGUGUUAAUCUCUCUCGGUUUGUGCCAGCGACAGGGGACUGGGGCAUCUGCAUGGCCGAGGAGUGAGUGCUGGCCAGCACCAAGCCCUUGAGAGGAUGUCAGCAGUGUGCCUUUGAAACUUUGAAUAAAAUGGACAUGAGGGCCGAGGAAGAAGACAGAAUUCCACAGGGAUAUUUUGUGCUCAGAAGGCUGGGAAGUAUUGGUGAGCAGAUUGUCUUGCCAGUUGGAGCUCCCCAGGGCACUGGGGGAAAUGCUGAAGAAGAGGGGCAAGAGUUUUGUUGAUUGUAACCUGAUCUGAGUAAGAUGGUCUCCAUGACACUGAGGCAAAUCCACUGGAAAUCUGCUGUGCUGUCUGGCUUCAGAUCACUUGGGACUCUGAGGCUGAUGACUCUGUCAAGGUGGGUGGAAAUAAAAUGCAGCUGACAACAUCCCUUGGCAAUAGGAGCCAGAGUGCUCAGCACUUCUGCAGCAGCUCUCUCCUGGUAUUCACACCUUCAUUUCCCAGAUCCUGUGUCCUGGGCUGCACUGACCCUGACUGCUCCUGUAGAAAAGCACAAGUUUUGCAGGAUGUUGGGAACAGGUAAACUGAAGUUGAGUAGAACUGCUGUAGCAGAAUGAGACCAUCCUGGUGUCUCCAGCACUGAUACUCUGCUGCUUGAGUAGGAGUGGUUCGAGCAGUCCGUGGCCAGGCUUGGGCUCCUGUUUAGACUAAAAUUUGGUUGUGGCCUGUCGGGUGUUCCAAGAGAAAUGGAACUUCUCUCAUAAUGACCAUACUUGUUCCCUUUUGAUGCUGGUCUCUGCUGGUCUUUGUCCAUGCUGUGUUACAUCUCUGUUAAUAUCUUUACUGAUUUUAUUAGCAACCCUGCCAUUUAUAGUACUUGUGUUGCAAAUUGUCCUACAUGAAGGCACUUAGAAAGAUAUGUUAUGGCUGUAGAGACCCAAGUGAUCAAUAACUUUUAGAUUACUGUGUCACUAAACAGCAGGCUGAGACAUGGAAAGGCACUGUUACUUUAGGGAUGAGAGAUUUUUAGAAAAUAAAUCAAUAGCGAAUACAGGCUGAUUGGUUUCCAGUUCAAAUAAUUCCAAGAAACAUGGAGCCCAGGGGAAACCAUGCCGUUCAUACUUGGAAAUAAACAACACAUGCUUGCUGUCAUUUAUGUAUUUGGGUCAGUUCUCCUGAAAAUGGACAGGGAGCUUUUGGGCAGGGUAUUAGUCUGAAAAUGGGGAACCUGGGUUCUCCUUCGAGUGCUCCCAGAGACUUCUCCCAGUGUUUCCCAAGUUCCUUUUGGUACCAACAGCCUUCACCGUGGGGCAUGGGCACUGCGUGGUGUAAAGCACAGGUGGAGCCCUUUUGGGGCUAACAGGAAUGUAAAAAAUAACAAACAUUCAGGGAGGUGAUUUUUGUUUUAGUGUUUUCCUUUUAAUGCUCAAGCAGCCACAGGCUAAAUGGUGGUGAGCAGCUGUUGGGUGCAGCGAAGGGCUGGAUGCUUUGUAGACAAGGAUGACGUGAAGCUGCCAGGGAAGAUGCUGCUGCCUCUCCAGGAGAUGCUGUGACACCUCCCCCAUGCAGGUGUGUUCAUGUGGCAUGGGCUGGCUGUGCUGCUGUGCCAGAGCCCCUGGAGCAAACAAGUUCCUGCAGUACCUCUGCUCAUCCCUGCUGCCUGGCGCUGCCCUGGAACUCAUCCCUGGAGAUGUGGGGGGAGACUGGCAGCAGUGGUGGCUGCGGGAACUCCCCUGUCCCUUGGCAGUGGGGAAGGGAUCUUUCUGAAAGUUUUCCAGCACUUCAGGGAUUUUUUUGCAGCAUCCACUGCCAGGAAGCAUUCCUGUGUGAGCUUGAGGUGUCUUCAGUUAAUUCUUGUUCUAGGCCAAGACCUGCCUUCUACACUUUGCUCAGUCCCCCCAGAAGCUCUUUUGUGGAUGUGUUUCAAGGACAGUUCGUGAUAAGGCAGUUACCUGCUACCUCUGGAACAUAGUGGACAGUGACUGAAGGUCCCAGAAAUUUUGUUAGAGUGCUGGUAUUAUACCUACUGGUUUAUUGGAGCACUACUUUUAUCUUGGGAUAGGUUGCUGAGUUCUGGAAGGCAGUCAGUGGAGAUGUACAAGUUGUGAAGGAUAUUUUCUGGAACUGCAGUACAGUUCAGCAGCCAAGGGCUGACUCCUGUUCAUCCAGUAAUGGCUGAGGAAGGCCAGGGGCAGAAGACAAGUUGGAAAAACUUACUUGAAGAAAGAAGCGAGAGAUACUUUAAUGUUGUUUUUGCAUGUGGCUUUGUUCCUCCUUGUCCAAACAAGAGAAGGAAACUGGCUGCUCUAACCUGACCUGUGUGCCUCUGCUUGAGAAAGGUGUUUUGUGGUGGUGACAAGGUGUGGAAUAGUACUUUGGUUUAAGGUUUGGGAUACUUGGAGUUAAGACCCUUUCCUGACCUGGAUAUGUCUGUGACACAUAACUACAUCACCUGGUCUGGCUGUGCUCUGUGUGCAAAGUGGAGAAAAUAGUAUUCCUCAGACUCAAAAGAAUGAAGGGUAAUUAUUUUGAGGCACUGAGAUAAGGGAAGUUAAGACAAAUAGAUCUGCUCCCACUGAAUACAGUGGCAGAACUUUUAAUGGGAGCAAGACCCAGGCCCCAUCCGAUAGAGUUUCAUCUGGAUUGCAUAUGGGGGUAGGCAUUAAAGACCCAUCUGAGGAUCUCCCCUCUGGAGUACAUCCAUAAAACACCCUCUGUAGUUGUGUUCAAAGCUUACAGUAAUGCCAGUCUCCUCAGGACCAUUCACUUAGAUCAUUCAGAAACUCUUUCUUGUCUAAGCCCUGAUGCUCUCCCCCAGUGGAAGAAUGUGGUUGAAACUCCCAUGCAGGGAAGACUUGAGAUUUGUUUUUUAUUUGAACCCAAAACAUUAACAAAUUGGACACAUGUGCUCUAAGACUAGAGCCCGCUCUUAUUUAAGCCAAUGCAAAACUCUCCUUGAUCCCAGCAGGAUCAAGGUCUUGAAUAUUGCUUUCACCUUUUUAGAAUAUCUGCCUCUAAAUGAAACAGACGGUGACAAGCUCAUUCUGGAUUUAUCCUCCUUUACUGACUUGCAGCCAGAGAUGUUUGCAGACCCUCCCUCUCAGACCAGAGGAAUUCACAGUUUAACUGCUGAAUGGAAGUCCAAGGGCAGGUAUCACUGUGCCUUCUCUUGUGGCACAUUCUUUUGCAUGUGAAAGUCAAGGCUGUGAUUUAGUCUUUUUUUUUUAGCAUUUAAACAUCUUUAAUGCUCUUGUCAGACUGUUGCUCCAGCUAGCAUAGUGCUUCUGUUCACUAUCUGUGAUUUUCUUCCUCUUCAUGCCAAAGUACUGACAGGUGAGUAUUAUAUGUGUAGGAAGCUAUUUGGCAGAAACAUAUGCCUUGAAUAUGUUUAAAUUCCUUGUAAGUCACUUGAUCAAUGUGCAGUAUUUGUGUCCCCUCUAUCUUGGCUCUAAAUUCAUAUUCAUCAACAGAGGUUUGCUUGGUACUUAAUGGGACACUGGGGCACUGAGUGAAGGGAAGGGACAAUACACAAACAGGGUGAAGAAUGAGGACAAAUGUAGAUGAACUUCCUCCAACAGGCACAAGAUGCUCAUUCCUGAAUAAAAAAUGUGAAAAGGUCAAGUGCCCCCAGAGGUUUCUAUUGUGACAGGCACUUAACCCCUUCACUCCUGGUUAUCUGCUUCAGCUGCUGGGCCACUCAGUGCACAAGUGCCAUUAGCAUCAGUGAAAUGUGGGGCUGGGAGCGUCAGGAGACCCUCCCUUGCAGGCAGCAGGCACUGGGUGAGCAGGAAAUAAUCCUUGUGGACACUGACCUUGUCAGUAGCUGUGUCUAGAGAUAAUUAUUUCCUAACAUGUAACCUUUUCAUGGUCAAUUGCUCCAGUAUAUUAGACAGAAUUGUGAUUUCCUUCUAUCUUCAGACAAGGUCUUGUCCUUCCUGCUUUGAGGGUGUAACUUGGCAAGUGCACAGACAACUCAGCACUUGCUGUUUCUAUUUUGCUUAAAAGAAAAAGAGUUUUGCUGCUCUUCCUGGCUACUGAGCAGAAGGGAUCUAGGGUAUACGGCCAAUCCCAUGUUUUCUUGACAGAGAGACAUUUCCCUUUAAGCAUCCAAUACUAACCAGGCAACUGUCAGUGUUUAGUAAUCUUCUGCUCCACCAGAUUUCUUGCUUGUUGACUGAUUCUGGUUUACCUUUUCCUAGCCUGUGAUGCUUCAGUGUGUGCCCCUUGACACAUCACCAAGGCAUGUGCAGAGGCAGGCUCAGCAGAGUAUGUCAGCACAGCUCCGAACGUCACGUUUGACGCCGUCAGGACCAACAUCAGCAUGAGCAGCCAGGGGUGAAGGCAGUUCCCUUGCACAGCCCUUGAGCCCGUGCUGCCCCUGCCUGAAGUGCACCCCACAGGGGCUCUCUGCUGGUUGGGACUGAGGAGCGUGAGGGAUGACACCGUUCUUCCUCCUUCUCCACCCCAAAUACUCCUCCUCACCUACUUGUUUGGCUGAGACUUGGCCUUACCAGGCAGAAGCUUUUUUGGGACAGUCCCUUUUGGGAAUGUACUCAGCUGACCCCUUGGAGACACGUUGUGUGGACUGCACUGAUCCAAACAAUAACACAAACCCAGCUCCUGCAGCUAACUGCAAUUUGUAGGUGAUAUUUUACAACCUGCUCCUUGUUUUGUAGCAGUAUUUAAUUGGCUUUAAAAUAAAAUUGCAAAACUAGGUCAGUUUGCCAUUGGGCCUUGUAAGACUCUUUAGCUAAAUCUCCAGACUUUACCUAGAAGUUAAUUUGAGCCAGACUUAGGAAAAAUAUAUAUUAAUAUACGCAAAGUCUCACAUGAGAAACUUGUAGGCAACGAUUUGGGAUUCAGAGCCAUAUUCAUAUUCCUAAGACUAAAUUCAAAGCCAUAGUUUAAAAGCAGCCUUGCACAUGUGUAUGUCCUGAUCUUUAAUUAGGCAAAACUCCCACUGACAUCAAUAGGAGUUUGACUUGAAUAAGAACUGCAGGAUCAGGUCCAUAAUUUGGUACCUGGGAUUUGAUUAAGCAGCUAAAUUACUAGAACAGUUUCCCCAUGUGUAUAAUUGCCUAAUUAAUUUUUAAAAUAGCUAAGUUCAGCACUGAAUACUGUGUACCUCUUGCCACAUGAAAUGUAUGCUAUUUAAUCCAAGUUGAUGGAGCUAUUUGGAAGAGCCUGUAGAGUUUUAAGUAAUACUGUUUAUUUUACACUCAGAAAUAGCCACCGUUGUGUUAAAAUGUCAUGUUCCAGAGUAGUGCUCUACUACAUCCUAAUUCUUGAGUUCUGGCUACUAUGAUUGAUAUUGCAGGUGAGAAAACACUCUGGAGGCUGGGGAAGAACUUAUUCUCUAAGAUGAUUUUUAGAUUCAAUGCUUUGAAAAGUUUUUUUGUUUUAUCAAUGAUUUUUUUCUGUUUGUUUGUUUUUGUUUUGUUUAGUGCCUCAGCAUACUGCCUGUGGUAGGCUAUGUAUCAGAAUAAGUGUGUAUUACUUGCUUUUUGUUGAAAUUUCAGUCUAAUACUGUGGGCUGGAGUUGAUAUAUUUGCUGCAGAAGGACUUGCUUUCACAAGUGAGAGACUGUUCUUUGUUUGAAACAGAGAACUUGUUCUGUAAGAAGAAUAGGGAGAUCAUAUAUGAGUUUCCUAAGUGGAAAAAUAUUGUGGAAAGACUUGCAAUGCCAAAAAGUAAAAUCUGUUCUCCCUAAAUGUAUAUAUGCAUGUGUGUGUUUGUCUGUGUGGGUCUUGUGUACAGACAUAAAUAAUUAGACUUGUAGCUGGCAUAAUGCACAGUGCCUCCUCAUGCUGUUGACUAUUCCUUAAUAAUGCAUGUUUUCCCAUUCUCUCCAGCUGAAUUCUCAAGGCAUUACCAUGGGAAUUCUGCCUUUUUGGGGAUUGCAGCAGAGCUCCAGGACGAGCUGUUUUUGUGAUGUGCAUCUCGCAGUAGCCCUUAUUCAGGAACUCCAUCCAAGCAUCUCCUGCAGAGAAUGAAAGCAUCAGCUGUCCUCGGAGAGGAGCUCCACGCUGCAGCCACGGUGAGCCUUGUGCUCUGAGUCUGGCAGGGUGAUGGGAGCUUGGAUUCUGCCACGCUCAAGGCAUGGCUAGGAGCUGGAAUUGCUGGAAUAGCACAGCACCAGGUGAAGUGGGGUACUGUCAGCUGUACUGCUCAGAGAGUACAGCACAGAGAGCCUUGAAGCCUUUGGAAACCAUUCUGCUCCUUUAAAGAUCUAAGAAUGCUCAAUAGGUAAACAAGUCAUGGCUCUGAAACUGCAGCCACAGCCUGAACUGGCUAAGGUCUGCAGUGCUGCUGUCUUUUCAAAUGACAGCUUUUUGUCUGUUCCACUAAUGCCCACAAAAUAAGCAGUCCUGUACCCUUGAAAAUUAGUGAUUGGGUCCACCCAAAAUGAUGAGAUGGUCUUAAAAAUGGGAAGAUUAUAUUUUAUGUUUUAAUUGGAGUCCUUUUGAAGGUUGUCCUGCUGUCUUGGUUUGUUGACUUUUUUUUUUUCCUGUAUUUGCCUCAUAUUUUGAAGACUUUCUAUGGGGAUUAUAGAAAGGAAUUGUAGGGAUGGAAACUUUCUGCUUUUGCUUAAAAAGAAAAAUAGGUAACUCUGUCUUGCAGCUGCUUGAUUUCUGCAGCUGAAAUUUUCUGAAUCAUCAUGAUUUAGCAUCGUUAGUGAUGACUAGAAGUGAUGUCUAUGGGUUUGGAAUCCCUUGGGUUUUAAAUAAAAU